RNAcentral lists this ribosomal RNA (3072 nucleotides) under Triticum aestivum (bread wheat). RNAcentral's name for it is "partial small subunit ribosomal RNA". The record is from RNAcentral. Lineage: Eukaryota; Viridiplantae; Streptophyta; Magnoliopsida; Poales; Poaceae.
AUGGGGGACUCGGCGGCGCCGGCGGGCAAGCUGGAGAAGAGCUACUUCGACGUGCUGGGCAUCUGCUGCCCGUCGGAGGUGCCGCUAGUGGAGAAGCUGCUCGAGCCGCUCGCCGGCGUGCACAAGGUCACCGUCGUCGUGCCCUCCCGGACCGUCAUCGUCCUCCACGACGCCGCCGCAAUCUCCACGGCCCAGAUCGUCAGGGCGCUGAACGGGGCGAGGCUGGAGGCGUCGGUGCGGGCCUACGGCGGCGCCGGGCAGAGCAAGGUGUCCAACAAAUGGCCCAGCCCGUACGUGCUCGUCUGCGGGGUCCUUCUCGUCGUCUCGCUCUUCGAGCACUUCUGGCGGCCGCUCAAGUGGUUCGCCGUGGCGGGGGCGGCUGCCGGCCUGCCGCCCAUCGUGCUCAGGAGCGUCGCCGCGCUCCGGCGGCGCACCAUGGACGUCAACAUACUCAUGCUCAUCGCAGUUGCUGGGGCCAUAGCUCUCAAGGACUAUUCUGAGGCCGGGUUCAUUGUCUUCCUCUUCACCAUAGCCGAAUGGCUCGAGACCAGGGCCUGCGGCAAGGCCACUGCUGGCAUGUCGUCACUAAUGAGCAUGGCACCACAAAAUGCGGUUCUAGCGGAGACUGGGCAGGUGGUUGCUACCCAGGAUGUGAAGAUCAAUACAGUAAUAGCUGUCAAGGCAGGGGAAGUCGUGCCGAUCGACGGUGUUGUUGUUGAUGGACGGAGUGAGGUCGACGAGAGCACCCUCACUGGGGAAUCCUUCCCAGUGUCCAAGCAGACAGACUCCCAGGUCUGGGCUGGCACGCUCAACAUAGAUGGUUACAUUUCUGUGAGGACAACUGCUAUGGCCGACAACUCUGCGGUGGCCAAAAUGGCAAGGCUCGUUGAAGAAGCCCAAAACAGUCGAUCCAGUACGCAGAGGUUGAUCGACACUUGCGCCAAGUACUACACACCCGCUGUUAUUUUCAUGUCUGCCGCAGUGGCAGUGAUCCCUGUGUGUGUCAAAGCACGCAACCUAAGACACUGGUUUGAACUGGCCCUAGUUCUCCUGGUGAGUGCCUGUCCAUGCGCUCUGGUGCUGUCCACACCCGUGGCAACCUUCUGCGCGCUACUGAGGGCCGCGAGGACGGGGCUCCUCAUCAAAGGAGGGGAUGUCCUUGAGUCCUUGGCCAGUAUCAAAGUUGCUGCCUUCGACAAGACUGGUACAAUCACUAGGGGAGAGUUCUCUGUCGAGGAGUUUCAGACAGUUGGUGAGCGUGUUUCGAAGCAACAACUUGUUUACUGGGUUUCAAGCAUCGAGAGCAGGUCGAGCCACCCAAUGGCAUCUGCUCUUGUUGGUUAUGCUCAAUCAAACUCUGUAGAGCCAAAAUCAGAAAAUGUUGCUGAGUUUCAAAUCUAUCCUGGCGAGGGGAUUUACGGUGAAAUUGAUGGAGAGGGCGUAUAUGUUGGGAACAAAAGGAUCUUGGCAAGGGCAUCGUGUCAAACAGUUCCAGACAUAGUAGAACACAUGAAAGGAGUUACCAUCGGAUAUGUGGCCUGCAACAAGGAAUUGAUUGGGGUAUUCAGCCUCUCGGAUUCUUGCCGAACUGGGGCAGCCGAGGCCAUCAAGGAGUUGAGAUCACUGGGCAUCAAGUCAGUGAUGCUUACUGGCGAUAGUACUGCCGCUGCCACAUAUGCACAGAACCAGCUGGGGAACAUCCUGGCUGAGGUUCACUCUGAACUUCUGCCUGAAGACAAAGUGAGAAUUGUAGAUGAACUGAAGGCAGGAGAUGGCCCUACACUGAUGAUUGGCGACGGCAUGAAUGAUGCCCCGGCAUUGGCUAAGGCUGAUGUUGGAGUCUCCAUGGGCGUGUCCGGUUCAGCUGUCGCAAUGGAGACGAGUCACAUUACUCUGAUGUCGAAUGACAUCCGCAGGAUCCCAAAGGCAAUCAAGCUGGCCAGGAGGACACACCGGACCAUCGUCGUGAACAUUGUCUUCUCGGUGACUACGAAGCUUGCAAUUGUUGCACUUGCGUUUGCAGGGCAUCCGCUUAUUUGGGCAGCAGUCCUUGCUGAUGUUGGCACAUGCUUGUUGGUGAUCAUGUACAGCAUGCUGCUACUGAGGGAGAAAGGCAGUGGAAAGGUGGCGAAGAAAUCCUGUGCUUCUUCUCACUCAAGGAAGCAUGGGCAUGGUACUUCCCACCACUGCUCCGAUGGUCACCACCAUGAGCAUGUAUCUGCAGGUAAGCAUUCUUCUUGCCAUGAUCAUCACCAUGAGCAUGAUCACCACAAAGAGCCUAGCAACCUGCAUUCCACAGGCAAGCAUGGCUGCCAUGAUCAUCACCAUGAGCAUGACCACCACAAAGAGCCGAGCAACCUGCAUUCCACAGACAAGCAUGGCUGCCAUGAUCAUGGACAUGGCCAUAGCCACUGCAAAGAGACGAGCAGCCAGAUGGUCACAAGCAAGCAUGUUUCCCAUGGUCAUGCCCAUACCCACAACAUCUGCAACCCUCACCCCACUGCGAACAAGCAUGAUUGCCAUGACCAUGAACAUAACCACCACCAAGAACCCAACAGUUCACAUUCUGCCGAUGAGCAUGAUUGCCAUGAUCACAAGCACUGUGAAGAACCAAUCAGCUUGCUUUGUGCCACUGAGCAUGCUUGCCACGACCAGAACCAUGAGCAUCAUUGCUGUGAUGAAGAGCAAACAGUGCAUGUCGCAGAUGCGCAUUCCUGCCAUGGCCAUAAGCAUGACGACAGUGCGGCUGAUCCAGUUCCAGAGCUGUCGAUAUCUAUCGAGAGCGCAUUGCCUGAUCACCAUGAGCAGGAGAUCCAGUGCAUCAAAGAGCACAAAGAGGAAGCGUGUGGGCAUCACCUGAAGGUCAAGGAUCACGUCCCGGCUCCGACAGAUUGCAGCAGGGGAAACUGUCACAGUACGGUGAGCAGCAAGGGAUGUGAAAGCAAGGGCAAAGAAGUUUGUUCAAGCUGGCCGGUUGGUCGUACCGGAAUAGUCCGCAGGUGUUGCAGGACUAGGGCGCGCAGCUGCUGCAGCCACAGCAUGUUGAAACUACCUGAGAUCAUAGUAGAGUAG